UCGAGGAUAUUUAGCAAUGGGCGAAAGCCUGACUAUGUGACGCCGCGUGAGGGAUGAAGGUUUUCGGAUCGUAAACCUCUUUCGAUGGGGAAGAAACUCCCGCCGUAAUGGGCGGGACUGACGGUACCUAGAGAAGAAGCCACGGCCAACUCCGUGCCAGCAGCCGCGGUAAUACGGGGGUGGCGAGCGUUACUCGGAUUUAUUGGGUGUAAAGGGCAGGUAGGUGUCCCACUAAGUUAGAAGUGAAAUCCUGCAGCUUAACUGCAGAACUGCUUUUAAAACUGAUGGGAUUGAGGACAGGAGAGGAGAGCGGAAUUCCCGGUGUAAGGGUGAAAUCUGUAGAGAUCGGGAGGAACACCUGUGGCGAAAGCGGCUCUCUGGUCUGUCCCUGACGCUGAACUGCGAAAGCUAGGGGAGCAAACAGG
Molecule: ribosomal RNA, 425 nt
Filed under: uncultured bacterium
Lineage: Bacteria
Description: bacterial SSU rRNA
Rfam family: Bacterial small subunit ribosomal RNA
Source: RNAcentral